UUUCCGUAGGUGAACCUGCGGAAGGAUCAUUAAUGAGUUGUCAUGGGGUUCGAUGCUGGCAGCCAAUUUUUGGAUGCAUGUGCUUGCCUUAACAAUCAUCUUCCAAACACCUGUGCACAUUUUUGAGGGAGUCUUGAGUUGGUUGCCGCUCUUGGGUGAUUUUCUCACAUUCCCUUAAAUCAUUAUACGCUAUUAACAAUGUUGAACGUGCUCUGUGCCGCAAGGCUAUUAAUAUAAUACAACUUUUAACAACGGAUCUCUUGGCUCUC
This 269-nucleotide unclassified non-coding RNA is filed under the name plant metagenome. Its description in RNAcentral is "partial contains small subunit ribosomal RNA, internal transcribed spacer 1, and 5.8S ribosomal RNA". The record is from RNAcentral.